Molecule: ribosomal RNA, 506 nt
Filed under: uncultured bacterium
Lineage: Bacteria
Description: partial 16S ribosomal RNA
Rfam family: Bacterial small subunit ribosomal RNA
Source: RNAcentral
AGUGAACGCUGGCGGUAGGCCUAACACAUGCAAGUCGAACGGCAGCACAGAGUAGCUUGCUCCUUGGGUGGCGAGUGGCGGACGGGUGAGGAAUACAUCGGAAUCUACUCUGUCGUGGGGGAUAACGUAGGGAAACUUACGCUAAUACCGCAUACGACCUACGGGUGAAAGCAGGGGAUCUUCGGGCCUUGCGCGAUUGAAUGAGCCGAUGUCGGAUUAGCUAGUUGGCGGGGUAAAGGCCCACCAAGGCGACGAUCCGUAGCUGGUCUGAGGGGAUGAUCAGCCACACUGGAACUGAGACACGGGCCAGACUACUACGGGAGGCAGCAGUGGGGAAUAUUGGACAAUGGGCGCAAGCCUGAGCCGGCCAUACCGCGUGGGUGAAGAAGGCCUUCGGGUUGUAAAGCCCUUUUGUUGGGAAAGAAAUCCAGCUGGCUAAUACCCGGUUGGGAUGACGGUACCCAAAGAAUAAGCACCGGCUAACUUCGUGCCAGCAGCCGCAGUAA